This 23-nucleotide microRNA is filed under the name Lytechinus variegatus (green sea urchin). Its description in RNAcentral is "lva-miR-34-5p". Its record names the gene lva-miR-34-5p. Lineage: Eukaryota; Metazoa; Echinodermata; Echinoidea; Temnopleuroida; Toxopneustidae. The record is from miRBase by way of RNAcentral.
UCGGCAGUGUAGUUAGCUGGUUG